Molecule: ribosomal RNA, 399 nt
Filed under: uncultured bacterium
Lineage: Bacteria
Description: bacterial SSU rRNA
Rfam family: Bacterial small subunit ribosomal RNA
Source: RNAcentral
GGAAUAUUGGACAAUGGGGGCAACCCUGAUUCAGCGACGCCGCGUGAGUGAAGAAGUAUUUCGGUAUGUAAAGCUCUAUCAGCAGGGAAGAUGAUGACGGUACCUGACUAAGAAGCCCCGGCUAACUACGUGCCAGCAGCCGCGGUAAUACGUAGGGGGCAAGCGUUAUCCGGAUUUACUGGGUGUAAAGGGAGUGUAGGCGGCUGUGCAAGUCAGAAGUGAAAACCCGGGGCUCAACUCCGGGACUGCUUUUGAAACUGCGUAGCUCGAGUACUGGAGAGGCAAGCGGAAUUCCUAGUGUAGCGGUGAAAUGCGUAGAUAUUAGGAAGAACACCGGUGGCGAAGGCGGCUUGCUGGACAGAGACUUACGCUGAGGCUCGAAAGCAUGGGGAGCAAACA